AUUGAACGCUGGCGGCGUGCUUAACACAUGCAAGUCGAUCGGUAACAGGUGUAGCAAUACAUGCUGACGAGAGGCGGACGGGUGAGUAAUGCUUGGGAAUCUGCCUAUUAGUGGGGGACAACCCGGGGAAACUCGGGCUAAUACCGCAUACGCUCUACGGAGGAAAGCCGGGGACCGCAAGGCCUGGCGCUAAUAGAUGAGCCCAAGUCGGAUUAGCUAGUUGGUAGGGUAACGGCCUACCAAGGCGACAAUCCGUAGCUGGUCUGAGAGGACGACAGCACACCGACUGAGACACGGUCCGGACUCCGUACGGGAGGC
Molecule: ribosomal RNA, 318 nt
Filed under: uncultured bacterium
Lineage: Bacteria
Description: bacterial SSU rRNA
Rfam family: Bacterial small subunit ribosomal RNA
Source: RNAcentral